This 468-nucleotide ribosomal RNA is filed under the name uncultured bacterium. RNAcentral describes it as "partial 16S ribosomal RNA". It matches the Rfam family "Bacterial small subunit ribosomal RNA", at positions 28 to 507 of the family's 1533-position model. The record is from RNAcentral.
GACGAACGCUGGCGGCGUGCUUAACACAUGCAAGUCGAACGGAAAGGCCCUGCUUUUGUGGGGUGCUCGAGUGGCGAACGGGUGAGUAACACGUGAGUAACCUGCCCUUGACUUUGGGAUAACUUCAGGAAACUGGGGCUAAUACCGGAUAGGAGCUCCUGCUGCAUGGUGGGGGUUGGAAAGUUUCGGCGGUUGGGGAUGGACUCGCGGCUUAUCAGCUUGGUGGUGGGGUAGUGGCUUACCAAGGAUGUGACGGGUAGCCGGCCUGAGAGGGUGACCGGCCCCAUCGGGACUGGGAAACGCACCAGACUCCUCCGGGAGGCAGCAGUGGGGAAUCUUGCACGAUGAGCGGAGGCCUGAUGCAGCAACGCCGCGUGCGGGAUGACGGCGUUCGGGUAGUAGGCCGCUUUCGGCUGUGACGAAGCGUGAGGGACGGUAAUGGGUAGAUAAGGAACGGCUAACUACGUG